This 430-nucleotide ribosomal RNA is filed under the name Bacteroidota bacterium. RNAcentral describes it as "Bacteroidetes bacterium partial 16S ribosomal RNA". It matches the Rfam family "Bacterial small subunit ribosomal RNA", at positions 355 to 776 of the family's 1533-position model. The record is from RNAcentral. Lineage: Bacteria; Pseudomonadati; Bacteroidota.
UAGGGAAUCUUCGGCAAUGGGGGGAACCCUGACCGAGCAACGCCGCGUGAGUGAAGAAGGUUUUCGGAUCGUAAAGCUCUGUUGUUAAGGAAGAACGAGUGUGAGAAUGGAAAGUUCAUACUGUGACGGUACUUAACCAGAAAGGGACGGCUAACUACGUGCCAGCAGCCGCGGUAAUACGUAGGUGGCAAGCGUUGUCCGGACUUAUUGGGCGUAAAGCGAGCGCAGGCGGUCAAUUAAGUCUGAUGUGGAAGCCCCCGGCUCAACCGGGGAUGUUCAUUGGAAACUGGUUGACUUGAAUGCAGAAGAGGAGAGUGGAAUUCCAUGUGUAGCGGUGAAAUGCGUAGAUAUAUGGAGGAACACCAGUGGCGAAGGCGACUCUCUGGUCUGUAACUAACGCUGAGGUUCGAAAGCGUGGGUAGCAAACAGG